UAAGCCAGCUAGUGGUUUGCUCUUUAACCU
Molecule: non-coding RNA, 30 nt
Filed under: Mus musculus (house mouse)
Lineage: Eukaryota; Metazoa; Chordata; Mammalia; Rodentia; Muridae
Source: RNAcentral